Molecule: long non-coding RNA, 995 nt
Organism: Ictalurus punctatus (channel catfish)
Lineage: Eukaryota; Metazoa; Chordata; Actinopteri; Siluriformes; Ictaluridae
Source: Ensembl
UGGAUUCCUAACAUGGUUCUGUGGGUCUUGGCAGAGGAUCAUUAUUGUAGGAUAUAGCGCACAAAAUACGGUAGGUGGCGGUACUGCGCCUAUGAGUGAACGGCCAUUAACAAGAAGAAGACAGCACCGGAAGACGCUAAAACUCAGCAGACCUAGAUCUCGCUGUACCGACUACCUAUCGGAGCAGGACAGGUACAUGCUGAUGGAGGAACACUCAGGUAGACUUCACAGGAACCUUCUGGUGUUUUACAGUAAUUCUAGUAAAUUGUGUACUGACUUACGAUUGUGCAGUAAAUCCCUACAAUACUACAUGUUCCUUUUAUUCUGAUAAAGUGCUGAAAUGUGUGUGUGUGUGUGUGUGUGUGUGUGUGAGUGAGAGAGAGAGAGAGAGAGUGUCCUACAAUAAAGUGAUCAAAUGUGUGAAGUUGUAUUGUCGUUCUUGCUGACUCGAGUCAUAUGAAGUUUCUUUAAAACUCCAACAUGCUGAUGUUUCUCCUCAUUUAUACAUCAUACUGCUGUGAUCAUGUGAACUGUUGGAAUAUAGUUAAGUGGAUGUAUUUUAUUUAUUUAUUUUUAAAUAUAUGCUUUUGCAUUAACCAUACAGGUAAGCUGAGCUUUAGAGUAAACUCUGGUGACUUUAAGGAACACAUUAGGAGUUAGUUCAGAACCGGUUCUUUGUAUAAUAACUCCAGUUACAUUGCUUGUAUUUUCCCAGUCUAGAUUAUUCUUAAAUUCCUGCAUUGCUUCAUAACUGAAUCUGUUUUGUUAAAAUUAUUAUUAGUUGUAAUUAAAAGCUGUUGUGUAAAUUAAUUAAUAAAUCUAAAUUCAUAUGUAAGGCUAGCUGGGGAAUCUCAGCCUCCUUUAAACUGUUAAAAUCUGGCAGUGAAGCGUUUUUCUAUGUUAAAUGUAGAAAAGUAUCCACUAUUUCUCCCUCUUUGUGAAAUUUUAUAUUCUAGUGGUUUAAAUUGAUCAAAAAUCUCCCUGCAGUAUUGCAC